CCUACGGGAGGCAGCAGUCGGGAAUUUUGCUCAAUGGGCGAAAGCCUGAAGCAGCAACGCCGCGUGAGGGAUGACGGCCUUCGGGUUGUAAACCUCUUUUCUCAGGGACGAUGAUGACGGUACCUGAGGAAUAAGCCACGGCUAACUACGUGCCAGCAGCCGCGGUAAUACGUAGGUGGCAAGCGUUGUCCGGAUUUACUGGGCGUAAAGAGCGCGCAGGCGGUCGUGCAAGUCGAGUGUGAAAGCCCCCGGCUCAACUGGGGAGGGUCACUCGAUACUGCUCGACUCGAAGGCGGGAGAGGGAAGUGGAAUUCCCGGUGUAGUGGUGAAAUGCGUAGAUAUCGGGAGGAACACCAGUGGCGAAGGCGACUUCCUGGCCCGUUCUUGACGCUGAGGCGCGAAAGCUAGGGGAGCAAACGGGAUUAGAUACCCGGGUAGUC
RNAcentral lists this ribosomal RNA (440 nucleotides) under uncultured bacterium. RNAcentral describes it as "partial 16S ribosomal RNA". It matches the Rfam family "Bacterial small subunit ribosomal RNA", at positions 338 to 795 of the family's 1533-position model. The record is from RNAcentral.